AUCAGUAAGCGGAGGAAAAGAAACUAACUAGGAUUCCCCCAGUAGCGGCGAGCGAACAGGGAAGAGUCCAGCACCGAAUCUCGCGUUGGGUUGAGCCGGCGCCGAGAAAUGUGGUGUUCGGGAGGACCGCGCGCAUCUGUCCGGUAGUUAACGUCCAAGUCUUCAUGAACGGGGCUAUCAACCCACAGAGGGUGUCAGGCCCGUAGGCUGGCGUGCCGAGACCGUGCACCGGGUCCCUUCCUAAGAGUCGGGUUGCUUGAGCGUGCAGCCCUAAGCGGGAGGUAAACUCCUUCUAAGGCUAAAUAUCGCCACGAGACCGAUAGCGAACAAGUACCGCGAGGGAAAGUUGAAAAGAACUUUGAAGAGAGAGUUCAAUAGUGCGUGAAACCGUUCAGGGGGUUAAACGGGUGAGCCCUCGAAGGUCGAAAGGCUCCCACUCCCGUCAGCAGUCGGCGGCUUCCGUCGACCGUGCGAUCCGUCAAAAGACGCCGGUCGGCAGAGCUCGCUGCCGUACUAUGACCGCAAGUUGGGGGCCUAGUAGGACUCCGCAACCGGCUGGCGCGUCGUUAUAAAGGGCGGCGGUAAUCUGGAUGGCUUGGGCUCGCCUCUCGCCGUCCGGAUCCGUCGUCUCCCGACGAUCGUGCCGGCCGUGUCCUGUGCCGUUCAAACCCGGCAUCGCAGCGGAGAGUAAAAAGUCGGGUCUCACCCGACCCGUCUUGAAACACGGACCAAGGAGUCUAACAUGUGCGCGAGUCGUCGAGUAUUAAACGAAACUCGCGAGGCGUAAUGAAAGUAAAGUCCGGCCCUGAUGAAGGUGCUGCGAGGGGAGAUGCCGUCUCUAUACAAACCGGAGCGGCCGCAUCCCGCGGGCGUUCGAAGCAGCGCACUUAGUCUGCCGAACGAACCCAGAGCGUACACGUUGGGACCCGAAAGAUGGUGACCUAUGCCUGACCAGGACGAAGCCAGGGGAAACCCUGGUGGAGGUCCGCAGCGAUUCUGACGUGCAAAUCGAUCGUCGGAGUUGGGUAUAGGGGCGAAAGACUAAUCGAACCNNCUAGUAGCUGU
This 1065-nucleotide ribosomal RNA is filed under the name Holopedium amazonicum. RNAcentral describes it as "partial 28S ribosomal RNA". It matches the Rfam family "Eukaryotic large subunit ribosomal RNA", at positions 42 to 954 of the family's 3401-position model. Lineage: Eukaryota; Metazoa; Arthropoda; Branchiopoda; Diplostraca; Holopediidae. The record is from RNAcentral.